RNAcentral lists this ribosomal RNA (253 nucleotides) under uncultured bacterium. RNAcentral's name for it is "partial 16S ribosomal RNA". It matches the Rfam family "Bacterial small subunit ribosomal RNA", at positions 524 to 776 of the family's 1533-position model. The record is from RNAcentral.
UACGGAGGGGGUUAGCGUUGUUCGGAAUUACUGGGCGUAAAGCGCGCGUAGGCGGAUUGGUAAGUUGGAUGUGAAAUCCCGGGGCUCAACCCCGGAAUUGCCUUCAAAACUCCCGGUCUUGAGGUCGAGAGAGGUGAGUGGAAUUCCGAGUGUAGAGGUGAAAUUCGUAGAUAUUCGGAGGAACACCAGUGGCGAAGGCGGCUCACUGGCUCGAUACUGACGCUGAGGUGCGAAAGCGUGGGGAGCAAACAGG